Molecule: small nuclear RNA, 106 nt
Filed under: Colobus angolensis palliatus
Lineage: Eukaryota; Metazoa; Chordata; Mammalia; Primates; Cercopithecidae
Source: RNAcentral
GUGCUUGCUUCAGUAGCACAUGUGCUAAAAUACUAUGCAACAGAGAAGAUUAGCACAGCUCCUGCACAAGGAUGAAACACAAAGUCAUAGACUGUCCCAUAUUUUG